UUCGCCCUGUACCAGCGGGUCCGCUUGUGCAGGGCUGCUAUUUCCAUCCAGCCAGGACGGGUUGUGCAAGAGGUGCGCUCCAGACCUCCAGUACUUACCCAUGGCCUGGUAUAUCCAGUUCCUGUUUCUCGUGCUGACCCUGAGGUGCGUAUCCAUAGUCUGGCGUCUCCUAAACCAGCACCACGCACCAGGCUUCCAGUGGUUCAGCCCAGUCCAACUCGUCCUGUUCCUGCUCCUCGCAGUAGCCCUGAGGUGCGUGUCCCCAGUCUGGUACCUCCACUACCAGCCCCACGCAUUAGGCUUCCAGUGCGUCAGCCCAGUACCUCGUCCAGAGUGUCCGGCAACAGUACCUCGUCCAGAGUGUCCGGCAACAGUACCUCGUCCAGAGUGUCCGGCAACAGUACCUCGUCCAGAGUGUCCGGCAACAGUACCUCGUCCAGAGUGUCCGGCAACAGUGUCUAGUCCGGAACCGAGUGAGUCGGCCUACAGUCCAGAGCUCCUAGAGUCGGCCUACAGUCCAGAGCUCCUAGAGUCGGCCUACAGUCCAGAGCUCCCAGAGCAGAGUCCAGGGUCCUCAGUGACUGGCCUCUGGCAAAGGUAUGCAGUGGGGGUGGUUUGGUCAGGUAGGGGAUUAAGGCCUGAGCCUAAGCCACCUCCACUGUAGGAGGUUUGGGGAGGUGGGGGUGUACCACAGGACCCGUCGGUGACGGCAGCCACCCUCCCUUCCCUCCCUUUAGUUUUGGGAUGUAUUUUUGUUUUGGGGGUUAUUUUAGUUUUUUUGUGUGAGGUGCAUCCGGGGUCUGCACCUUUUGGGGGGGGGUUACUGUCACGUCCUGACCAGUAUAGUGGUUAUUUGUUAUUGUAGUUUGGUCAGGAUGUGGCAGGGGGUGUUUGUUUUGUGGUUCAGGGUGUGCUUUGUGUAUGUGUUUAGGUAGAGGGGGUAUUUGAUUUAUUAGUCCGGGGUUUGUUAGUCAUUGUUCUAUGUUAGUAUAUUUCUAUGUUCUAUCUAGUCUUUUGUAGUUCUAUGUUUAGUUAAUUGGGGUUGGACCUUCAAUUGGAGGCAGCUGGUUAUUGUUGCCUCUGAUUGAGGGUCCUAUAAUUAGGAGUUUGUUUUUCAUGGGAUUUUGUGGGAGAUUGUUCUUGUUUAGCUGUUUGCCCGACGAGACUGUCAAGUUAGUUUUGUUUUGUAUACGUUUAUGUGUUUUCCUUCACCAAUAAAAAAAGAUGAGUAUACAUUUUCCCGCUGCGUCUUGGUCUCUAACCUACGACACCCGUGACAGACAAACUAAUUUAGAGUGUGACGCUAACAAUCCAUCUGCUAAUUUCAAACAGUCAUUCUUUCAACACUCUUACCAUUAACAUGACCUUGCUACCACCUCUCAACAGAUCCCCUCUGCAGUGACACUGUGUACUGUAUAGACAGAGCACAGUGUCAGGAACCUGAGCCAGAAUGGAUCCCCGCUGUGGAUCAGGCCCUCUCUCUGUUCCUGUUCCUCCAGCACAGUGACCAAUUCCUCUCCCAGCUCUCUGACUUCAUGGGUGGUCACCAUGGAGGGCAUGAAUACCUCAGGGAGGAAGUUGGUAGCAUCUAAACUCUGAGGUCAGAGGGAUUCCUCUAAAACAUCUUUGUUCGAUUUCCUGGAUCCUGAUCAAGCCUAUUCCAAGACUAAAAGCAUGUUCGACUGAGAUUCUCAAGCUGACCGGUAUGACUUCAUGGAGAUUCUCAAGCUGACCGGUAUGACUUCAUGGAGAUGCUCAAGAAACCCUCUCCCUACAUCCCCUCUGAUGGCCUGACCUUUGACCCCCUGGUGGACCUCAUCAACGUCAUUAUCGGGGACCUCCCCGAUGUCUGCAUACUGCUGGGACCCUUUGUGGACUCCUAACAUGAGCAGAUAGAGAAAUCUCUGUUGACCGAGACGUUUGAUGCCAUCUUCUCCAGAUGUGUGGGGAGCAUCGUGAAAGGCACCGAAGGAGUUGGAUGUCGGUUUGUAUUUGUUCCCCCCCGAGAGAGAUGUCCACCAUCACUUCAUUUACCCACAACCCCCUUUCACCCUGCCGGACCUCCGCAAGGACGAUGCAAAGCAUGUGACCCUGGUGCCUGACCCCUGCACCCUGCUCAUUGAGGGCGUGACCUUUAGCCUGACCUCUACAGACAUCCUGUCCUACAUGGGAGCAGAGGAGGUCAGCUGCUACUACCCCCUGUAACCGCCUGUGGAGGAGGUGAACAUGGACUAUGAGACGUUCCAGAACCACGGCCAGAUGCCCCUCAGUCAUGAUGUGCUCAUCGUCUCCUCCGAGCUGCGCUUAUUCAUCAAGGUAACUGAGCCCCAGCUGAGGGAAGAAGUGCAACUGCCAACACCAGAGUCCAAAGGGAUACAUUCUAAUAGCAAGUAUAUCACAUAAGCAUAUUAUGCAGAUAAGACAUCUUAAUUAUCUAUGUUACCCAACUAAUUCUGAUUCAUCCGCCACAUGGCUGGUUCACACAGUGGAAACUUACUCGGCC
Molecule: long non-coding RNA, 2503 nt
Filed under: Salmo salar (Atlantic salmon)
Lineage: Eukaryota; Metazoa; Chordata; Actinopteri; Salmoniformes; Salmonidae
Description: lncRNA (ENSSSAG00000092336.1, ENSSSAG00000115273.1)
Source: RNAcentral